CCUACGGGCGGCAGCAGUGGGGAAUAUUGGACAAUGGGGGCAACCCUGAUCCAGCCAUGCCGCGUGUGUGAAGAAGGCCCUCGGGUUGUAAAGCACUUUCAGUGAGGAAGAACGCCUGGUGGUUAAUACCCAUCAGGAAAGACAUCACUCACAGAAGAAGCACCGGCUAACUCCGUGCCAGCAGCCGCGGUAAUACGGAGGGUGCGAGCGUUAAUCGGAAUUACUGGGCGUAAAGCGCGCGUAGGUGGCUUGAUAAGCCGGUUGUGAAAGCCCCGGGCUCAACCUGGGAACGGCAUUCGGAAACUGUCAAGCUAGAGUGCAGGAGAGGAAGGUGGAAUUCCCGGUGUAGCGGUGAAAUGCGUAGAGAUCGGGAGGAAUACCAGUGGCGAAGGCGGCCUUCUGGACUGACACUGACGCUGAGGUGCGAAAGCGUGGGUAGCAAACAGGAUUAGAUACCCGAGUAGUC
RNAcentral lists this ribosomal RNA (466 nucleotides) under Vreelandella stevensii. RNAcentral describes it as "partial 16S ribosomal RNA". It matches the Rfam family "Bacterial small subunit ribosomal RNA", at positions 338 to 795 of the family's 1533-position model. Lineage: Bacteria; Pseudomonadati; Pseudomonadota; Gammaproteobacteria; Oceanospirillales; Halomonadaceae. The record is from RNAcentral.